This 440-nucleotide ribosomal RNA is filed under the name Anas crecca (Common teal). RNAcentral describes it as "partial large subunit ribosomal RNA". Lineage: Eukaryota; Metazoa; Chordata; Aves; Anseriformes; Anatidae. The record is from RNAcentral.
GUCUUAACUGUCUCUCACAGAUAAUCAGUGAAAUUGAUCUCCCCGUGCAAAAGCRGGGAUGUGAACAUAAGACGAGAAGACCCUGUGGAACUUAAAAAUCAACGCCACCGCGAACCUAAGACUAAACCCACCGGGACCACAAACACGCAGAGCUGGCCGAUAUUUUUCGGUUGGGGCGACCUUGGAGAAUAACAAAUCCUCCAAAAACAAGACCACACCCUCUUUACUUAGAGCCACCCCUCAAAGUGCUAAUAGUGACCAGACCCAAUAUAAGUUGAUUAAUGGACCAAGCUACCCCAGGGAUAACAGCGCAAUCCCCCUCAAGAGCCCCUAUCGACAGGGGGGUUUACGACCUCGAUGUUGGAUCAGGACAUCCUAAUGGUGCAGCCGCUAUUAAGGGUUCGUUUGUUCAACGAUUAAUUAGUCCUACGUGAUCUGAG